Non-coding RNA from Pelobates cultripes (western spadefoot toad), 206 nucleotides. The record is from the annotation of a GenBank genome assembly. NCBI's taxonomy places the organism in Eukaryota, Metazoa, Chordata, Amphibia, Anura, Pelobatidae.
CCCACACUUUCAAAAUUAACCCUGACUGUGUUCUCUAGAAUGCCUUUCGGGACAAUGAUUAGAGAAUGAUUUGCAAAGUGUAGUCACCACAAUUUGUGUUCCUACUAUUCAAAGAAUUUUUGUGCAACUUAGGAACCAGCAGUAAUAUUUACCUCUUGAAUGGCCCUAAUUAGGAGGGGCAGUCUCUUUAGUUGGUACAAUUCUUU